UACGAAGGGUGCUAGCGUUGUUCGGAAUCACUGGGCGUAAAGCGCGCGUAGGCGGCUUUUCAAGUCAGGGGUGAAAUCCUGAGGCUUAACCUCAGAAUUGCCUUUGAAACUGUAAAGCUAGAGUGUCGGAGGGGAUAGCGGAAUUUCCAAUGUAGCGGUGAAAUGCGUAGAUAUUGGAAGGAACACCGGUGGCGAAGGCGGCUAUCUGGACGACAACUGACGCUGAGGCGCGAAAGCGCGGGGAUCAAACAGG
RNAcentral lists this ribosomal RNA (253 nucleotides) under uncultured bacterium. RNAcentral's name for it is "partial 16S ribosomal RNA". It matches the Rfam family "Bacterial small subunit ribosomal RNA", at positions 524 to 776 of the family's 1533-position model. The record is from RNAcentral.